GAUGAAGAACGUAGCGAAAUGCGAUACGUAAUGUGAAUUGCAGAAUUCAGUGAAUCAUCGAAUCUUUGAACGCACAUUGCGCCCGCCAGUAUUCUGGCGGGCAUGCCUGUUCGAGCGUCAUUUCAACCAUCAAGCCCCCGGGCCUGUGUUGGGGACCUGCGGCUGCCCGCAGGCCCCGAAAACCAGUGGCGGGCUCGCUGUCACCCCGAGCGUAGUAGCAACACCUCGCCCAGGGAGUGCCGCGGGCACCGGCCGUAAAACCUCCUCUCGCCCCCCCCCGCGGGAGGGAACACCCCAAAGGUUGACCUCGGAUCAGGUAGGAAGACCCGCUGAACUUAAGCAUGUCAAUAAGCGGAGGA
Molecule: unclassified non-coding RNA, 359 nt
Filed under: soil metagenome
Description: partial contains 5.8S ribosomal RNA, internal transcribed spacer 2, and large subunit ribosomal RNA
Rfam family: 5.8S ribosomal RNA (bases 1-120)
Source: RNAcentral